AUGUCAGUCUUGGAAUGAAGACUUUAUGCAUCACUAGCUGUGUGCAUGUAUGUUCCCAGUUUUUCUUCAAGGGGGAUACUGUUUCCCUUUCUGAGAAGAUAAUCAAUGACCCUCCAAGACUUGAGAGGAGUGACCUGAGUUUAGGAGAUAGUAGAACCCACCUAGAUCAUGGUCGUGCCAGCAAAUCCGUGUGAAUGCCACUGGAUUAAAAGAAGGAAGUUUAGUUGAAUGGUUACUACCCUCAUUCACAGGAGCAGUUAUCGGCACUUCCACUGAGGCAAUGGCAGUGGGAAAAGGAAGGCAAAUAUUUAUUCACCCAUCCAUAAACUCAUAAAAGAGUGAGCUGAUGAACUGAACACAAGUUUUGGUGUAAUCAACAAGCUGCCUGGAAUAUGCAUGAACUGCCCUAAUUUUACAGAUGCCUUUACUUCUGAAAGCAUCUUCUGGGAGAGCUUAGCCUUUUCCCUAAGUUUGGAUUUGAAAGCAAGCAGAAUGGAAAUAAGUCCGUGUUGUUCACAUGUGCUUUAGUUUUUGUGCACUUAAAAGUUUUUAAAGAACUUUUUUAAAAAAAAACCUUCUAAUAUAAAUCUUUUGUAAAAGUAAUACUUAAAAGAAAA
Homo sapiens (human) is the source of this 617-nucleotide long non-coding RNA. Ensembl annotates it as long intergenic non-protein coding RNA 2855. NCBI's taxonomy places the organism in Eukaryota, Metazoa, Chordata, Mammalia, Primates, Hominidae. The record is from Ensembl.